RNAcentral lists this long non-coding RNA (371 nucleotides) under Mus pahari (shrew mouse). RNAcentral's name for it is "lncRNA (MGP_PahariEiJ_G0003964.1)". Lineage: Eukaryota; Metazoa; Chordata; Mammalia; Rodentia; Muridae. The record is from RNAcentral.
GUCCACAGAGCGGCACAGGGCAGGGCCCUGGGACCCUGAAGCCACCUCAGCUUGGAGGGCCAAUCGAUCCCUUGGCAGUUAUGGGAUCCAUCCUGAGCGUCGUCGCUGAGGCCCAGCCUGACGGUGUCGGCUUGGCAUCCCAACACUGGAGGCAGAGCAGGAGGACCAGGAGGUCAAGGUCAGCCUCUGCUACAUAGUUUCUGGAAAAUGUGAGACCCUGCCUCAAACAGAAAGAGGAAAAGAGAAAAAGAUAAACCCGGAUGUUCUUCUGGUAUGUGUUCUAGGGGAGCCUGCUGAGGCCCUGGCUCCACCUACACACUGCAAGGAAAACAGAACAAAAGUUACUUUGUAUCAUUAAAGAUUGGGGCCAG